CUCAAGUAGUUGGAUUUAUUUCAACCACAAAUCUACUUGUAGAAUUCCACCUUUUUGUGUCCCUCUUCUACCCCCGAUAGGUUCUAGGCCUGCUAUCCCGCUUGGGACUCACUUUUUCUUCUUCUGCUUUAAUUAUCUCUUCUUGGACAUAAUAUAUCCCUCUUCAUUUUGAACCUGUAGUUUAUAAUUUUUUAUAGUAUUUUUGAAGAAAGUCAUAUUGAAUUUUGAUUUUUUCAGUCCUCAACCCCUUCUCACAGCUCCCAACAACCUCUAGCUCCACAUACUCCGACACCUCACUUGCCAAAUCAACUUAAAUUUUCACCCAGGAUCGAACUCUCAACCUCUGGUUAAAAGUGGAACAGCCACAUCCACUGCAUCACAACCCAUGUUGGUUUCUCUAGGUAUUCUUCAUUCAUCCAAAAUAUGCUUUUAACUUUUUAUUGUCUUAUGUUUUCAGUUGAUAUAUUUUGAUUGAAUUUUAUAAUUUUUGGUUUCAAAUUUCACUACACCAUUCUAUAAUUUUAUGUCUUAUCCUUUAGUCUCCGUUUAAGAAAUCAUUUUUAAAAUUCAGGAAUGAGUUUCUUGGUCUCAAGAUUUUUUUUUUUCAAUUCUAAAUUAGUAUUCUUUUUUUAAUAUCUUUGUUGCAGUGCAUUAGUUUCAUCUGGGUUUGACCUUUUUGUUCUCUAAUUUUGAUAUAUUAUACCAUAUUUAUUAUUCAUUCUUUUGGCUUCUUCAAAAUGUACCUAUUUGUGAUUUAUUUUCUUGUUCACUUUUGCAUUUGGGUGAGUACCCAAUGGAGUUAUUUUUAUUUGUUACUUUUAAUUGCUCAUCAAUUUAGGAUAGUUCAAAUUACGUGCAUUCAAGGUGGUUGAAUGAUAUUUGGAAUAUUAAUUUCAUUUUUUUAAUCCAUAUACAAUAUUAGAAGUUGGGAGAAGUAGGGGUUCACUGUUUAUUUAUUGCACCUUGUGAAAGUUCGUCUUUACUUUUUUUGAAUGAUAUUGUUUGACCAUUUGUACAGGGAACAUGCUUAGUUCAUCAAAAAAAUAUCUUCUUAAUUAGUCUAUCUUGACAAUACUAUACAAAGAAAAUCCAAAACGAAUUUUUCAGCUAAACAAACUUCAUUAUGAUAUGUUGUAAUUUCUUGGAUCGACAUUCCUCAUGAAAGACCCACUUUUCAUGGUCAUUUCUUGAUACUACAUCUUCACUUGAAGAUUCUUCAUUUUCAUUUGUCAAAAAAUAUUAUUAAAUUAACCUCUAAAAAACUCUGUGAUUGCUAGCAAGAACACCAUACCAGUAUCAAGCAUUCUACUUUUUCUCACUCCAAUUGUUACUCUUUUUAUUUUUUAUUUUGGGGUUUAGUGAUAUGAACCCCAUAUUUUUUUACCUCUUAUUGUCUUAAGCUUUAAGAUGGCAUUUUCAAUAAUUAACCCCAUUUGGUGGUAAAGGUAUAGCUUCGUUGGUUUCCGUUGUAGUAAGGGUGUUGUUUAUGCAAAUGCUCUAAUAUUGCUUUGCAGGAAAGUUGUUGUCUGCUCCUCCUAUCUAUAUAGUGUAAAUUUUUUAUUUUUGUUACAUCUAUAAGUUGUAGCCCAUAGGGCUAUGCAGAUUUUGAUUUAACCCGUUAAUCCGAAUCGAUAAUUUGUUUAUCGGGUUAACAGGUCAAUUUUUUAAUUAUUGGGUUGAGUGUCGGGUUUAAAAUUUCUAUUACUGAUUUGUCGAUUCGGGCCUCAAUUUACUUAACUUUUUUAUCAGGUUACCGAAUAACCCGAUAAAUAACACAUAGGUCUCAGCCCCAUUAUAUUCUCAAUACCCAUUACCCACUGGCCCAAAAGGCAAAAGCGAUUCAUUCCCAUUUCCCAAGCCUAAUUGUGCAGUUAGAGUUAGAGACUUAGGGUUUAAUAGUUUAUUCAUGAUUUCACAUUUGUCUUAGCACCUCUCAGUCUCUCACUCUCAGUAUUCACUAACAUAGACCAAAACUCAGUAUUCAAGCUCAAUUUUUGUUGAAAACUCUAGAGACCAAUGAUGAUUUACUACUCAGCUGUUGUUGUUGUGCUCAACAGGUAACAAGUUUUGUUCCAUCUCAUUCUUAGAUAGUCUUCUUCUUCAUCUUCAAUUUCUGUCCAAUCUUCGAUGUAUUAUGCUAAAGACCAUCUCAUUUGUAUCUUUGCAUGUCUUUCGAUCUUGUCAUCUGUGUAACUUGAAUAGCUGAUUUUAAUAAAUGGAUAGUAAUUUUGAAGAAUUCAGGUGUUAUUUGCUUAUAUAGUUACAUUACUAGUUGAUUAAGCUAAUUUAUUGUGAAAUUGCAGUUCAGUUAAAAGAUUGAUCUAGUUGUGCUUGCAAAGUUUAGUUUUCUGACUUUACAAAUGAAUAAGUAAUGUUUUUUGUCAUGCUUGUACUCCUUGUUGUGAGUGAUAAACAACUUACUGGUGUUAAACAAUGUUUCAAUUUCUUAUUUUUAUAUUUUGAGAGUGAUGACAAUGUUGUUCUGCGAUUGGCUAUUUGGGGCUAUUUUGUUCAAACAUUGGUUACUGCCUUACUAGUGUUGGAGUUGGACCAUAGCCAAACCUUCCAACCAACUUUUUAUGAGUUAAUUUGGCUGAUCUAGUAAACAACAAUGUCUUGAGUCUUGACCAGUCUUAGACUCUUCGCAAUGUAAUGCUAAAAAAAGGGACAUCUGAUUUUAAAAGUCCUGAUAUAUAUGUUGAGAUUACUUAGCAAUAUGUGUCGAAAUCAUAUUUUAUCUGAUAAUCGACAAUAUUAUAUAUGGUUGGAUGAAUACAUUGUGUUGUCUUAAGUUACUGAAUUAAUGUGAAGUCAGUAAGUCACUGAUUAAUGCUUGCAUGCUGAUAUUCUAUGGUGUGGUCUAUUAUGCUCUAUGUAUAUUGUCAAGUUUUGGUCAUGUUAUGUUGAAAUUUUUUUGUUGGUUUGUUGUUUGAUUAUUUUUCUUUUACCAUUACAGUCACAUUGAUAUAACUAAAUGAUACAAAAUACUAGAGUUGAUAAAGUGAUUGGUAAGAGUAUAACUUCUGAUUCGAAUAUAGUGAAUCAAAGUCCGACAGUUGAGUCUAAAUCAAAGAAUAAGGAGAAAAAGAUUUGUUGUGUGGGAUCAUUUUACUUGUAAAGUUUAUUCGGAAAGAAUUAAAAAGGGUAUGUGUAAUUAUUGAAAACAAGAGUAUUUAGCUUAUACAAAAGAACAUGGUACAAUGACAAUGCUUGGUCAUAUAAAAGAUGCAAAAAAUUACUUCAUAAUGUUGAUACUAGGCAAUCAAAGAUAACAUUUCAACAGGUUACAUGGGGUAACAAGGGUGAUGUAUCAAUCCUUUUAUGGAAAUUUGAUCAAGAAUAGGGUAGAAAAUCUUUAUGUCGUAUGAUAAUUCUUGAUGAGCUUCCUUUUAGAUUUGUUGAAAAAGAAGGCUUUAAAUAAUUUAUGAAAGUGGUACAACCUUUGUUUCGAAUUCCUUAUCUUACAACUGUUACUCAUGAUUGUUUUGAUCUCUUUGAUAAAAGAAGAAUAAAAUGAGGAGAAUUUUUAAGGAAACUCAACAAAAAAUAUGUAUAACGAUUGAUACUUAAACUUUUGUGCAAAGAAUCAAUUAUAUGUGUAUUACUGCUCAUUAGAAUGAUAAAAAUUGGACUUUGCAUAAAAGAAUUAUCAAUUUUUGUCCAAUUUCUAGCCAUAGGGGUAAAGAUAUUAAGUGUUUGUAUGAGUGGGGAUUGCAUUGAAUUUUCACGAUUAUUGUUGAUAAUGCUAGUUCAAAUAGUGUGUGUGUGGUUGAGAUGUCUAAGAAAUUGACUAAGUAGGGAACCAAUCUUAUGGGUGGUAAGCAUCUUCAUGUUAGUGUAUGGAGCAUAUCAUAAACCUUGUCAUUCAGGAUGACAUGAAAGAAGCAACUGUUUCUAUUGAAUGAAUCAGGCAAGCAGUGAGAUACAUUAGGCAAUCUCCUGCUUGAUGGAAGAACUUUCAAGAAUGUUGUGAAGAUGAAAAUCUUGCAAAGAAGUCUUUAUGCUUAGAUGUUCCCACAAGGUAGAAUUUCACCUACUUGAUGUUGAACAGGGCUAUUGAAUAUGAGGGUACAAUUUUAAAUUUUGCUAAUCGUGAUAUUGGUUUGGUACAUCAUCUCGAGUUUGGUCAUAUUCAUAUGUGUGAUGGUGAUAGUGAUACUAUGGGUGAACAACCUGCAGGUACACUUUUGAGUGGUGAUUGGUAUAGUGUAAAAAGAAUUGUAAAAUUUCUUAAAUUAUUUUUUAAGCUUACUUUGAAGGUAUCUGGAUCAUUGUAUAUUAAAUCAAAUAUUCAUUUUCUUGAAAUUUGUCAAGUUGAUUUUUA
Molecule: long non-coding RNA, 4324 nt
Organism: Capsicum annuum
Lineage: Eukaryota; Viridiplantae; Streptophyta; Magnoliopsida; Solanales; Solanaceae
Exons: 2
Source: RefSeq, a predicted model, not a curated record